CAGCCGCCGCGGGAAUACGUAGGGUGCGAGCGUUAAUCGGAAUUACUGGGCGUAAAGCGUGCGCAGGCGGUUGUGUAAGACAGGUGUGAAAUCCCCGGGCUUAACCUGGGAACUGCGCUUGUGACUGCACAGCUAGAGUAUGGCAGAGGGGGGUGGAAUUCCACGUGUAGCAGUGAAAUGCGUAGAGAUGUGGAGGAACACCGAUGGCGAAGGCAGCCCCCUGGGCCAAUACUGACGCUCAUGCACGAAAGCGUGGGGAGCAAACAGGAUUAGAAACCCCCGUAGUCCCUGUCUCUUAUAC
This 301-nucleotide ribosomal RNA is filed under the name uncultured bacterium. Its description in RNAcentral is "partial 16S ribosomal RNA". It matches the Rfam family "Bacterial small subunit ribosomal RNA", at positions 509 to 807 of the family's 1533-position model. The record is from RNAcentral.